Molecule: ribosomal RNA, 415 nt
Filed under: uncultured bacterium
Lineage: Bacteria
Description: bacterial SSU rRNA
Rfam family: Bacterial small subunit ribosomal RNA
Source: RNAcentral
UGAGGAAUAUUGGGCAAUGGGGGCAACCCUGACCCAGCCAUGCCGCGUGAGUGAAGAAGGUUUUCGAAUUGUAAAGCUCUUUCGGAUGUGACGAUGAUGACGGUAGCAUCUAAAGAAGCCCCGGCAAACUUCGUGCCAGCAGCCGCGGUAAUACGAAGGGGGCGAGCGUUGUUCGGAAUUACUGGGCGUAAAGGGCGCGUAGGCGGAUCGUUAAGUCAGAGGUGAAAUCCCGGAGCUCAACUUCGGAAUUGCCUUUGAUACUGGCGAUCUUGAGUGUGAGAGAGGUAUGUGGAACUCCGAGUGUAGAGGUGAAAUUCGUAGAUAUUCGGAAGAACACCAGUGGCGAAGGCGACAUACUGGCUCAUUACUGACGCUGAGGCGCGAAAGCGUGGGGAGCAAACAGGAUUAGAUACCC